This 460-nucleotide ribosomal RNA is filed under the name uncultured bacterium. RNAcentral's name for it is "partial 16S ribosomal RNA". It matches the Rfam family "Bacterial small subunit ribosomal RNA", at positions 338 to 795 of the family's 1533-position model. The record is from RNAcentral.
CCUACGGGAGGCAGCAGUGAGGAAUAUUGGUCAAUGGACGCAAGUCUGAAUCAGCCAUGCCGCGUGCAGGAAGACGGCUCUAUGAGUUGUAAACUGCUUUUGUACGAGGGUAAACGCAGAUACGCGUAUCUGUCUGAAAGUAUCGUACGAAUAAGGAUCGGCUAACUCCGUGCCAGCAGCCGCGGUAAUACGGAGGAUUCAAGCGUUGUCCGGAUUUAUUGGGUUUAAAGGGUGCGUAGGCGGUCGGAUAAGUUAGAGGUGAAAUCCCGAGGCUCAACUUCGGAAUUGCCUUUGAUACUGUUCGGCUAGAGAGUAGUUGCGGUAGGCGGAAUGUAUGGUGUAGCGGUGAAAUGCUUAGAGAUCAUACAGAACACCGAUUGCGAAGGCAGCUUACCAAGCUACUUCUGACGUUGAGGCACGAAAGCGUGGGGAGCAAACAGGAUUAGAUACCCUUGUAGUC